Molecule: long non-coding RNA, 3053 nt
Filed under: Homo sapiens (human)
Lineage: Eukaryota; Metazoa; Chordata; Mammalia; Primates; Hominidae
Description: HSALNT0253211
Source: RNAcentral
GCCGACUUCCCCUUCCCAGCCCCGCUGCGCCCUGCGGGGCCCUGUCGGCGGUGGGGGCUGCGGACCCGGGAGCGCGCGGCCGCGCUGCACGUGCAGGGACCGGUAGGCGCCGGGGUCAGCGCCAGCGUUUGAUGUGCGGCGGGGAGCGGGCCGAGCCCCGGGAGGCCGCUUCGCACCUCCCAGUGUGUCCGGGUUGAGCGCGAGGUCAGGAGGGGACGCAGAGUUCACGGCGAAGACGGAUCGCGGGGGCUCGUCCCGCCCGGGUUGCGCGCAGCGGGGGCCGCGUGAUGGAUGGGCCGGGCCGGGCACCCGGGAACCCGCGAGCGCGGGGCUGGGCUCUGGGCUGCGUCCGGGGGCCCCGACUUGGUUAUUGAUCGGCCCAAGCGCAGGAGAACUGACUCUAUAAUGCAUCGCCUGACCAGGAAAAGUGUUUGCUUUUGUGGGAGCAAAAGACAACUUUCUGCCCCGCCAGAGCGUUGCUAAGUGAGCGGUAAUGACCACGCUAGAAAUUUCAUAGGGAGAGGCUAAUGGCAGGCUGACUCUAAAAGUGCUUUUAAGUGCAACUUCUGUCUAAUCCCUUGAGGGGGAAGAAAACAUCGGCGACUAAGAAAGUUCAAGUUGUACAGGACCCGGGUUUUUGGGGUCGGGGUCACUUCUGCUCUGCGUGACUUUGAAGAGGAAGACCUGCGGUUUUUUCCAGUGGAUUUUCACACGUGUUUUAAAGAGAACUCCCGGCUCCUGAAAUGAAAGGCCCGCCUGUAGGGUUUUGCUGCCUCCCCUCUGCCCACGCCCCACCCCCACAGCCUGGAUCAAAGCGAUCAGACAAAUUAUUCAGAAGUAACACAGCCCUGAAAUGUUCCUAAACGUGACUAUUUGAGGCGAUGAAUCAAGCGUGUUCCCUCCGCCCCCAACCCACCCCCAGACCGAAAAUGUGACUCUGGAAACGGACUUGCAGAGCUGGCUUCGGUUUAUAUGCGGUUCUGACCCCUGUUGACUUUAGGACAAGCCUUCCUGUUUCCAGUACUGCAGCAUCGCCAGACAGCCUCGCCAUGCAAUCGGCUUUCCAGAUACGAUUUCACUCCUCACCAAAGACACUUCUUUAGGGCGAUUUUAGGAUUCUAUCAACGCUAGUAAAGGAACUACUUAAACACGUUGAUUUGUAUCGCCUUCCCUGACUAUGAAACAUUGAAGGGGAAUACUACUCAUCAAUAAAAAAAAUAUAAACUCCUGAUACACCUCAUGGAUGGAUGCAUAGAUGGAUGGAUGGAUCUGAAAAACAUCGUGCUGAAUAAAAGAAGCCAGACAUGAAAGAGUACGUACAAUAUGAUUUCUUUUAUCUGAAGUUCUGGAACAGGUAAAAUUAAUCUAUGGUAACUUAAGUCAGAACUGGGAGUACUUCUGGUGGGAGGAUUUAGUGGGAAGGGGCAUAAAAGAUCUUCCUGUGUCUUGAUAGAAGUGUGGGUUUUACAAGUGUAUGCAUUUGUAAAACUCAUUGAACUGCAUGCUUAAUAUUCGUGCAUUUCACUGUAUGUAAGCCAUUCUUCAGUAAGAUACAUGAAAAAAGAAAGUCAUAUAAAAGUCAUAAUAUAACAGAAGAGGAAUUCUGGAGUUCUUGUGGAAUAUGCUAUGUCAGAAAACUGCUAAAGAAUAAGUGGAGUGAUUUUUUAAAGACAAGGAAUCAGAUAAAUGUAAGAAUUUCAAAAUCAAAGAAUGUGUUUAGUGGCAGAAUUGCAAUAUUAAUUAUUCCUUAGAGUUACAUUCCCCACAAUGUGUUGUUUGGCAUAUUAAAAGGCAUUCUAUUCAAAACGAUUCUAUAGUCAUAAAUUUGGGAAGCUGUAGGUUAAACGGAGUUAUAUAGGAUUUCUUCCCUAGUACUUCUCAGACUCUUUAAAAUGCGCAUCCUUAGUGUGGGCCUUGUUAUGGGUUGAAUUCUACCUCCCCAAAAAGGUAGGUUGAAGUCCUCAUACCUGUUGAUAUGAUUUUAAUUGGAUAUAAGGGUUUUGCAGAUGUAAUUAAUUAAGGUCAUACUGGAUUUACGGUGGGCCCUUCAUCCUAUAUGACUGGUGUCCUUGUAAGAGUAGGACAGAGACAGAGAGAGGGGGCGGGGGAGAGAGAGAGAGAGAGGGAGAGACCAGGGAGAGGAUGCCCAUGUGAUGAUGGAGGCAGAGAUGGGAGUGAUGCAUCUAUAAGCCAAGGAGGGCCAAGAACAGCUGGCAAACACCAGAGGCUGAAAGAGACGAGGAAGGAUUCCUCUAUAGGUUUCUAUAUCAGUUCCUUCUCAUGCUACUAAUGAAAGACAUACCUGAGACUGGGAAAUUUAUAAGGGAAAGAGGUUUAAUUGACUCACAGUUCAGGAAACUUACAAUCAUGGUGGACGGGGAAGCAAGCAUGUCCUUCUUUACAUGAUGGCAGGAAGGAGAAGUGCAGAGAGAAGGGGGGAAAGCCCCUUAUAAAACCAUCAGAUCUCAUGAGAACACACUCACUAUCACCAGAAAAGCAUGAAGGCAAUCACCCCCAUGAUUCAAUUACCUCUCAUUGGGUCCCUCCCACCACAGGUAGGAAUUAUGUGAAUUACACUUCAGUAUGAGAUUUGGGUGGGGACAGCCAAACAAACCACAUCAGCUUCAGAUGGAGCUGGGCUCUGUUGACAUCUUGACCUCUGAUCUCAGACUUCUAGCCUGCAGAACUGUGAGAGAAUAAAUUUCUAUUGUUUCAAGCCGCCUGUCUGUGGUACUUUGUUAGAGCAGACACAGGAACCAUACAAACCUCUAGGAAAAAGAUGUGAUGAUCUCACGUUUCCCAGAUUGGUCUGAUCAUACAAUCUUCUGCACUUUCCAUGGCAUGUCUGGAGAGUGUUUGGCCCGCCCAGUGUGGUAAUCCCUGCCUGCUGGGACGGCCUUUCCUUCAACUAUUCAUGUUAUUCUUGCUUACCUUAAGAGCAGUGUGGUAUGCAGAAUGAUGGCCCCCAAAGAUGUCCACAUCCUAGUCCUGGAAUGUGGGAAUAUGUGAGUUACAUGGCAAAGAGGAAUUAAGGGAGCACAUGGAGUUAAGCU